GACAGAGGAGGCAAGCAUUAUCCGGAAUGACUGGGUGUAAAAUGUGUGUAGGUGGUUAAAUAAGUCAAGUGUGAAAUCCCUAUGCUUAACAUAGGAACUGCACUUGAUACUGUUUAACUUGAGUUCGGGCGAGGAGGGCGGAAUUCCCGGUGGAGCGGUGAAAUGCGUUGAGAUCGGGAAGAACACCGAUGGCGAAGGCAGCUUUCCAGCUUGAAACUGACACUGAGACACGAAAGCUAGGGGAGCAAACAGG
This 253-nucleotide ribosomal RNA is filed under the name uncultured bacterium. RNAcentral's name for it is "partial 16S ribosomal RNA". It matches the Rfam family "Bacterial small subunit ribosomal RNA", at positions 524 to 776 of the family's 1533-position model. The record is from RNAcentral.